CCCUUCAGUCGAUCUGUCCCUACCUCUAUACUCACCACUUCCAAAACUGCUUGAUGUAUGCAAAUAUCCCCACUCUCCUGCAGUGUCUCCAUCAUCAUCAUCAUCAAACAACAGUCCGUCCCGUUCAUCUUCUUCGUCUUCUGGUUCAGGUGGGAGCCACAGAAUUCCACUGCUUUCAAAAUCUACAGGUUCCAGAUUAACAUCUUGCGCAACAUAUAGGGAUGAUGAAGUUUCACAUUCAUCACUAAUAUACUGUUUUACUAUCUGCGGCACUUCUUCAGAAGCUUGGGAAUCAAAAUGGCUCUGCAAGGACAAGCUGUCCACACUUUUUUCAUCAACAGCUUCCCCAUUAGGAUGAAAUUUACGUUCAAACAACAGUCCGUCCCUUUCAUCUUCUCCUUCUUCUGGUUCAGGUGGGAGCCACAGAAUUCCACUGCUUUCAAAAUCUACAGGUUCCAGAUUAACAUCUUGUGCAGCAUAUAGGGAUGAUGAAGUUUCACAUUCAUCACUAAUAUACUGUUUUACUAUCUGCGGCACUUCUUCAGAAGCUUGGGAAUCAAAAUUGUUCUGCAAGGACAA
Molecule: long non-coding RNA, 579 nt
Filed under: Nicotiana benthamiana
Lineage: Eukaryota; Viridiplantae; Streptophyta; Magnoliopsida; Solanales; Solanaceae
Description: long non-coding RNA (NBEN_LNC023446)
Source: RNAcentral